This 835-nucleotide ribosomal RNA is filed under the name uncultured archaeon. Its description in RNAcentral is "bacterial SSU rRNA". It matches the Rfam family "Archaeal small subunit ribosomal RNA", at positions 19 to 859 of the family's 1478-position model. The record is from RNAcentral.
GGAGGCUACCGCUAUUGGAAUCCGAUUAAGCCAUGCGAGUCGAGAGGGUUAAGCCCCUCGGCGGACGUCUCAGUAACACGUGGAUAAUCUGCCCUUGAGUGGGGGAUAAACUCGGAAACCUGAGUAUAAUACCCCAUAGGCCUAGGAUGCUGGAAUGCUUCUAGGCUCAAAGCUCCGGCGCUCAAGGAUGAGUCUGCGACCUAUCAGGCAGUAGUGGGUGUAACGGACCCACUAACCUUCGACGGGUACGGGCCUUGAGAGAGGUUGCCCGGAGUUGGACUCUGAGACACGAGUCCAGGCCCCACGGGGUGCAGCAGGCGCGAAAACUUCACAAUGUGGGAAACCGCGAUGAGGGGAUUCCAAGUGCUAACACUUUGUGUUAGCUGUUCACCUGCCUAAAAAGCUGGUGAAGUAAGGGCCGGGUAAGACGGGUGCCAGCCGCCGCGGUAAUACCUGCGGCCCGAGUGGUGGUCGUUAUUAUUGAGCCUAAAGCGUCCGUAGCCGGUUCAGUAAAUCUCUGGGUAAAUCGGGCAGCUCAACUGUCCGAAUUCCGGAAAGACUGCUGAACUUGGGACCGGGGGAGGUUGGAGGUACUCCUGGGGUAGGGGUGAAAUCCUGUAAUCCUAGGGGGACCACCAGUGGCGAAGGCGUCCAACCAAAACGGCUCCGACGGUAAGGGACGAAGCCCUGGGGCGCAAACGGGAUUAGAUACCCCGGUAGUCCAGGGUGUAAACGCUGCAGGCUUGGUGUUGGGGGUCCUGCGAGGGCGCCCAGUGCCGGAGAGAAGUUGUUAAGCCUGCCGCUUGGGGAGUACGUCCGCAAGGAUGAAACUUAA